GAUGCUUCGAGCGUCGGCGGCGGCGGGCGCGGAGCUUUUAUAGCGGAGGAGCCGCGGGUUGCAUCAGCGCGUGUGGGCGGGGCUUACCGGUUGAGUCCAGAAGGUUCCUCACGCAACAUGUCCGGACAUUGCACAGUGCACAGACUCAAGAUUCCCGUAAAACAUCACAGGUCUAGACGAGGCGGCAUGAGCCCUGCCUUAGUCACAGGUUGGGAACGACCUGCCUACAUCGUCCCAAGUGCAGCUGAGGUUCAGACGAGGCUCCACUCGAGUGGUGUGGAUCAGAUCCCUCUGCCCCGUUGAGAAAACACCCGGGAGGUGAACAUUUCUGAUGCAACGUCUCCCAACUGUUUCAGCUGCAGCGCUGCAGGAAAUCGUGUCCUGUUCUUUGAAAGAGGAAAGAUGACGACAAAUUCUCUUCUAAACAACGGAAAACACGU
Long non-coding RNA from Scophthalmus maximus (turbot), 440 nucleotides. RefSeq lists it as uncharacterized. The transcript has 5 exons. Lineage: Eukaryota; Metazoa; Chordata; Actinopteri; Pleuronectiformes; Scophthalmidae. The record is from RefSeq and is a predicted model, not a curated record.